RNAcentral lists this ribosomal RNA (452 nucleotides) under Streptococcus mitis. Its description in RNAcentral is "bacterial SSU rRNA". It matches the Rfam family "Bacterial small subunit ribosomal RNA", at positions 28 to 466 of the family's 1533-position model. The record is from RNAcentral. Lineage: Bacteria; Bacillati; Bacillota; Bacilli; Lactobacillales; Streptococcaceae.
GACGAACGCUGGCGGCGUGCCUAAUACAUGCAAGUAGAACGCUGAAGGAGGAGCUUGCUUCUCCGGAUGAGUUGCGAACGGGUGAGUAACGCGUAGGUAACCUGCCUGGUAGCGGGGGAUAACUAUUGGAAACGAUAGCUAAUACCGCAUAAGAGUAGAUGUUGCAUGACAUUUGCUUAAAAGGUGCAAUUGCAUCACUACCAGAUGGACCUGCGUUGUAUUAGCUAGUUGGUGGGGUAACGGCUCACCAAGGCGACGAUACAUAGCCGACCUGAGAGGGUGAUCGGCCACACUGGGACUGAGACACGGCCCGGACUCCUACGGGAGGCAGCAGUAGGGAAUCUUCGGCAAUGGACGGAAGUCUGACCGAGCAACGCCGCGUGAGUGAAGAAGGUUUUCGGAUCGUAAAGCUCUGUUGUAAGAGAAGAACGAGUGUGAGAGUGGAAAGUUCA